This 53-nucleotide transfer RNA is filed under the name Trichuris sp. ETH392. RNAcentral's name for it is "tRNA-Val". RNAcentral also lists the same sequence under 1 other name. Lineage: Eukaryota; Metazoa; Nematoda; Enoplea; Trichinellida; Trichuridae. The record is from RNAcentral.
CAGGGGAUAGUAUAAAAGUAUAUUUUACUUACAAUAAAAAGGUUAAACUCUGA